RNAcentral lists this ribosomal RNA (339 nucleotides) under Ectopseudomonas oleovorans. RNAcentral describes it as "bacterial SSU rRNA". It matches the Rfam family "Bacterial small subunit ribosomal RNA", at positions 74 to 416 of the family's 1533-position model. Lineage: Bacteria; Pseudomonadati; Pseudomonadota; Gammaproteobacteria; Pseudomonadales; Pseudomonadaceae. The record is from RNAcentral.
UGGAGCUUGCUCCAUGAUUCAGCGGCGGACGGGUGAGUAAUGCCUAGGAAUCUGCCCGGUAGUGGGGGAUAACGUUCCGAAAGGAACGCUAAUACCGCAUACGUCCUACGGGAGAAAGCAGGGGACCUUCGGGCCUUGCGCUAUCGGAUGAGCCUAGGUCGGAUUAGCUAGUUGGUGAGGUAAUGGCUCACCAAGGCGACGAUCCGUAACUGGUCUGAGAGGAUGAUCAGUCACACUGGAACUGAGACACGGUCCAGACUCCUACGGGAGGCAGCAGUGGGGAAUAUUGGACAAUGGGCGAAAGCCUGAUCCAGCCAUGCCGCGUGUGUGAAGAAGGUC